GCCAGCGACUAGGAACAAACCUUCGUCUUUCUUAACUUUUCGAAUGACAUCAAGCUCUGCAUAGCUGUUGAAGAGUGGCCACCAUCUUGUUUUUCCAAGAACUGAAAGUGGAUCCAUGGAUUUAGGAAUUGUCGUUUCUGAACCAAGACUGCUCCUAACACACCACACAAGUGUUCCAGAGCUGAGGAGUUUCCUAGAACACAGGACUGUGAGACUGAACACCAGGAAAUCCUGAGAGAAUGAGGCUGAGCCAGCCAUCCUAACUGCCAAUCCUUCAGCAAGCUCAGGAUGACCAGAGAAAGUGGCCUGGAGUUUCCUUGGAGGCUUUUUUGGUCCCAUUUGUGAGAUUGAUGUUGCCCUUAACGAUGGGGAAACCAGGAAAAUGGCAGAAAUGAAAACUGAAGAUGGCAAAGUAGAAAAACACUAUUUCUUUUACGAUGGAGAAUCUGUUUCAGGAAAGCAGAUCAUCCUGUGGAGAAAAGCAUCCGAAAAACUGAGGAAACAGAGGACAAAUUUUCACCAGCGAUUUGAAUCUCCGGAAUCACAGGCAUCGGCAGAACAGCUUGAGAUGUAAGCCAAAUAGGACAGAGAGCAAGAACAGGAACUGUAGCCAAGAGGUGAACUCAGCAGGUUAAAGAUGGUCACAGCGUGGGGAAAGUCCGACUCCAUGUCUGCCAGUCUUCCUUAUCCUGAAGUGCUGCGUUUAUUUUACAGGAUGAUAAAGGUUCUCUGUGUACAUACAUUUUAAAAAGUGCUUUCUUGGAAACACUGGAGAAUUCUUAAGCUGCCUUUUUUGUUUUCUUUUUUACUGCACACUGAUAAGCACUCAGAUGCGUCAGCAUAAACAUUAAAGAUCUCUAUGUGUGUAGGCUGGUAUUUGUAGUUUUGCUUUCCUUAUGCAUAAUGUUGAAAAUCUUUCUUUUUCAUGCUAAUGAUUACCUCUUAUUCACUAUGUGCAAAAAAUAAACAUUUUGUUCAAAUAAAAUGAGAAAACCUGA
Molecule: long non-coding RNA, 998 nt
Organism: Psammomys obesus (fat sand rat)
Lineage: Eukaryota; Metazoa; Chordata; Mammalia; Rodentia; Muridae
Exons: 4
Source: RefSeq, a predicted model, not a curated record